AUUGCUAUUAUAGCUUCGGCGCUUGUUGAGUGGUGUGCGGCUGAUUAGAUAGUUGGGCGGGUAACGGCCCACCAAGUCUACGAUCAGUAGCUGAUGUGAGAGCAUGAUCAGCCACACGGGCACUGAGACACGGGCCCGACUCCUACGGGAGGCAGCAGUAAGGAAUAUUGGACAAUGGACGCAAGUCUGAUCCAGCCAUGCCGCGUGAAGGAUUAAGGUCCUCUGGAUUGUAAACUUCUUUUAUAAGGGACGAAAAAAGGUCUUUCUAGAUCGUCUGACGGUACCUUAUGAAUAAGCACCGGCUAACUCCGUG
This 313-nucleotide ribosomal RNA is filed under the name uncultured bacterium. RNAcentral's name for it is "bacterial SSU rRNA". It matches the Rfam family "Bacterial small subunit ribosomal RNA", at positions 194 to 507 of the family's 1533-position model. The record is from RNAcentral.